Long non-coding RNA from Saccostrea cuccullata (small rock oyster), 806 nucleotides. RefSeq lists it as uncharacterized. Lineage: Eukaryota; Metazoa; Mollusca; Bivalvia; Ostreida; Ostreidae. The transcript has 4 exons. The record is from RefSeq and is a predicted model, not a curated record.
AGGUUGACUUGAUUUUUUCCCAUCCAUUCUAAUUUUUUUUUUUGGAUAAUUGUGUCUGCAUGUACUUUAGCCAUUUGAUAUUUUUACAUUUUAAUUUGUUUUUGCCUUCUUUGUAGAGAUGCCAGUAGGACAAAGGUGACAUAUGUCAAUACUAGUCCUUGAAUAAUUGAGACAGAAUGGAAAUUAAUGGCAAACAAAUGACGCUUAAAAUAAUGCAGAAUAAGCCAAGGCUUUGUCCAUUUCCUUUGAAAGACAUCCUCCCGAAGGAAGAAUUACUUAUUAAGUAGAUUAUGGAGACCAAACCAAGAAUUCGUGGUGGAGAAUAAAAGGGCCACAACGUAAGGGUUCAUAGAGAAUUUCACCAACUUCCGAACAAUCGAGGCCAUGCAAAAGUUUCAAAGCUUCUCCAUAGUAUGUAGACAGUGGCACCAUUCAGAAGUAAUGGGGAAUGGACUUUGAUGAGAUUGAUCUUCCUGACAAAGGUUGUAGUCCUCUGCCUCAUGAAACAGAAAGUAAAAAGGGCAAGAUCAAAUUCACACCAUGAGGAGUAUCUUUAGGACACCAGUGGUUGAUUGAGGAAAAAGAGUACCAGAAGAAACACUUCAAGAGUAUUAUAUUUUCUGGAAGAACUCCUAGACAGAUACACUUACUGCAAUACAGAAAGCAUCAUUGAAGGGGUUUCCUUGGAAUCAAAUCAAAUACAUUAUAUGCUGUAAAAUAAGACUGCUACUUAAAGGAAAACAUUUCAAAAAUACAAUGUACUGAUAUUAUUCAGUGGGUUUGAAACAGUCACAACCUGAGAAACU